RNAcentral lists this ribosomal RNA (301 nucleotides) under uncultured bacterium. RNAcentral's name for it is "partial 16S ribosomal RNA". It matches the Rfam family "Bacterial small subunit ribosomal RNA", at positions 509 to 807 of the family's 1533-position model. The record is from RNAcentral.
CAGCCGCCGCGGGAAUACGUAGGGUGCAAGCGUUAAUCGGAAUUACUGGGCGUAAAGCGUGCGCAGGCGGUUCUAUAAGACAGAUGUGAAAUCCCCGGGCUCAACCUGGGAACUGCAUUUGUGACUGUAGAGCUGGAGUGCGGCAGAGGGGGAUGGAAUUCCGCGUGUAGCAGUGAAAUGCGUAGAUAUGCGGAGGAACACCGAUGGCGAAGGCAAUCCCCUGGGCCUGCACUGACGCUCAUGCACGAAAGCGUGGGGAGCAAACAGGAUUAGAUACCCCCGUAGUCCCUGUCUCUUAUAC